RNAcentral lists this ribosomal RNA (1084 nucleotides) under uncultured bacterium. RNAcentral describes it as "bacterial SSU rRNA". It matches the Rfam family "Bacterial small subunit ribosomal RNA", at positions 72 to 1162 of the family's 1533-position model. The record is from RNAcentral.
UAGUUUGCUUGCAAACUAAAGAUGGCGACCGGCGCACGGGUGAGUAACACGUAUCCAACCUGCCGAUAACUCGGGGAUAGCCUUUCGAAAGAAAGAUUAAUAUCCGAUAGUAUAUUUUCUCCGCAUGGCGAGAAUAUUAAAGAAUUUCGGUUAUGAUGGGGAUGCGUUCCAUUAGUUUGUUGGCGGGGUAACGGCCCACCAAGACUACGAUGGAUAGGGGUUCUGAGAGGAAGGUCCCCCACAUUGGAACUGAGACACGGUCCAAACUCCUACGGGAGGCAGCAGUGAGGAAUAUUGGUCAAUGGACGAGAGUCUGAACCAGCCAAGUAGCGUGAAGGACGACUGCCCUAUGGGUGUAAACUUCUUUUAUAUGGGAAUAAAGUAUUCCCGUGUGGGAUUUUGUAUGUACCAUAUGAAUAAGGAUCGGCUAACUCCGUGCCAGCAGCCGCGGUAAUACGGAGGAUCCGAGCGUUAUCCGGAUUUAUUGGGUUUAAAGGGAGCGUAGGUGGAUUGUUAAGUCAGUUGUGAAAGUUUGCGGCUCAACCGUAAAAUUGCAGUUGAAACUGGCAGUCUUGAGUACAGUAGAGGUGGGCGGAAUUCGUGGUGUAGCGGUGAAAUGCUUAGAUAUCACGAAGAGCUCCGAUUGCGAAGGCAGCUCACUAUACUGCAACUGACCUGAUGCUCGAAAGUGUGGGUAUCAAACAGGAUUAGAUACCCUGGUAGUCCACACAGUAAACGAUGAAUACUCGCUGUUUCGAUAUACAGUAAGCGGCCAAGCGAAAGCAUUAAGUAUUCCACCUGGGGAGUACGCCGGCAACGGUGAAACUCAAAGGAAUUGACGGGGGCCCGCACAAGCGGAGGAACAUGUGGUUUAAUUCGAUGAUACGCGAGGAACCUUACCCGGGCUUAAAUUGCAUUUGAAUAAUCUGGAAACAGGUUAGCCGCAAGGCAAAUGUGAAGGUGCUGCAUGGUUGUCGUCAGCUCGUGCCGUGAGGUGUCGGCUUAAGUGCCAUAACGAGCGCAACCCUUAUCUUUAGUUACUAACAGGUCAUGCUGAGGACUCUAGAGAGACUGCCGUCGUAAG